GACGUAGGAUGCGAGCGUUAUUCGGAUUUAUUGGGCGUAAAGCGUGCGUAGGCGGCUGUUUAAGUCUGGUGUUAAAGCUAGGGGCUCAACCCCUGUGGUGCAUCGGAUACUGGGCAGCUUGAGUGCGGUAGGGGAAGGUGGAAUUCCGAGUGUAGCGGUGAAAUGCGUAGAUAUUCGGAAGAACACCGGUGGCGAAGGCGACCUUCUGGGCCGCAACUGACGCCGAGGCACGAAAGCCUGGGGAGCGAACGGG
Molecule: ribosomal RNA, 253 nt
Filed under: uncultured bacterium
Lineage: Bacteria
Description: partial 16S ribosomal RNA
Rfam family: Bacterial small subunit ribosomal RNA
Source: RNAcentral